Long non-coding RNA from Rhea pennata, 3003 nucleotides. RefSeq lists it as uncharacterized. The record is from RefSeq and is a predicted model, not a curated record. The transcript has 2 exons. Lineage: Eukaryota; Metazoa; Chordata; Aves; Rheiformes; Rheidae.
GGGAAGAGCCUGUGUUUAGGACGUGCAGUUGGGAACUAAUUCUGCUGUGUCUAGCCUUGCUCUGCAUGAGGAUCCCCUUGGGGUCCUGGAAAGCCAGGAUGGCUGUCAGUGCUGCCGUCAAGGAGGUGAAGAUACACAGAAAGAAUAUCAUUCAUUCUUGAGGAAGGAUUGGUAUCACCCAGAAGCAGCAGUCAUUGAUCUUUUCUCUCCAGUCUUGUUGAUGGCGGCAGAAACAAGAGGCCUGACCUUCUCUACUGCUUCAGCUUUCUCGAUUCUGAGCAGAACCCCUCAUCCUAGAAACAAAAUUCAGUUUCACCUAUGCUGCCGAAAAGUUGUGGCUGAGUUUUGACCAUAAGCUAAACAUUUGUGUACCCAUAUGAGGUUGAAAAAGUUCAAGAAGUCUGGUGAAUGGAGCCCUUGGAGGGCCAGUGGCCAUCUUGGAGCAGGUAAGAAGGCAGCAUGCUUCUCCUGUGUGAACAGCAUCUCCAGUGCUGUCAGCUGUGAAGACCUUACUCAUGACACAGCAUGGACACAGUGGCAUGGGCUACAGGCUGCCUGCCAGCAGCUGUGAGGGUGAACAGACAUGGUCAGAAACAGUGUCAGGUGUCAGCCUUUCUUAUCUGAAUUCUCUCCUGGAAGCUCAGAAAGACCAAUAACUAGGCAGACUGCUGGUGCAACGCCAUUUACACUGUUAACUAAAGGUUUGUAAUGAGUAUUACUGAAUAUUUGAAGUGCAUGCUCAGACUGAAAGCAACUUCUCUGUAGUCACACAUGAACUGUUUCCCAUGUCCUAGGCCAGCAGUGUGAGGACUUCUCAAUUGCAAUAUUGAGUCUGAAUUACUCCAGUCUCUAUAACUACAUGACUUUCCUAAGAACUAUAGCAUUUCUCAAAUCAGCUUAAGAAAUAAUAAUUUUUUUUUGUUUUUUUUUUCCCAGGAGAAAGAAUAAACUACAAUGUAUUAUUUUGCCAGCUAUGUGAAAUUAGAUGCUAAGGAAAACCAGUAGCUGUUUAGAGUGGUAAUUCUGUGGAAAAGUCUACAUGUUACAGAGACGUUAUGGCUAUUUAUUCCCAUCAGUGACUAAAGAAAUUUGAUAAAAGAGUAUUUGGAAAAGAGACCAUCUUCUAAAUGCAUACCUGCUAGGUGCACUUUGCACUUUUUUAAUCUUAAAAUGUAACAAUCAGAAAAUCACACUGAGCCACUAAAACCUGGACCCUGCACUAUGUGCAGUCGAAAUUCCUAUAGCAUAGCUCUAGUAUGCCUCCAUUAAGAAAGUCCAUCCUUUCCUUUGAUGCCAGCUCUUCUCCAAACACUGGCAACAUUCUCCUGCCCUCUUAAAACAAAUAGAUAAACAGAAAAAACCUCAAACUUUAUCCAAGAGCCACUUCCUCGCAUUUAUACCAGACUCAAUGACCAACACUAAUUCAAAGUAAUCUUUGCUUUAUGUCCAGCACACUCUCUAUCCACUAAGAAGUACCCUGUCACUUGGGGAACCUGGUAGGUGUCCAAAAAUGGGCCCUCCAAAAGCCACGGCAAAGCUAGCACUUCUCUCAAGGAGUUAAAUGUUCAAGGCCAUCUCGAAAGGGGCACUGCCAGUAUGAGGAGUCACAGCUGCCAGCGCUCUGCCAGGCCUUCCUCCUCACAAACCUCAGCAUGGAGAAGCCUGUGCUUGCCCCACACAGGGCCAUGUCAGGGUCUCUUGACUCAUGACAUGUCUAUCUCGAGGUGGGGGGAAGGGUUGAUGGAACUGGGAUGAACCUCCACCCACCCUGUUAGCUCUCCUCUUGGCUGGUAAAUGAGAAGGUAGCCAGGGCAGGACUGUGACCUACACUGUCUACCAUAGGCACCUACGAAAUUUCGGAGAUGAUGAUGGAGCAAUCUAAAAAGCAAAUUUUUAGAUUUGAUUUAAAGGCCCAUGAAGUCAAUAAGAAGAUUUGCACUGACUUUGAAUCAGGUCCUCUGUGUGUCACACUUACACUUGGGCAAGACUAGAAAGAAGUUCAGCUGGAAGAACCAAGUUGAGGAAACAGGCUUUUGCUCAUCGUGAGCUGUGAGAUGCCAUCAAAGCCACAUUCUGCAUCCUUUUCCAGUACAUAUUUUAUUGGGGUAAAACAUUAAAAAAUCAUAUCCUUCGACGCACUUUACCAUCUAUUCUGACUUGGCAGUUACCAUUUUCUCAUGCCACAUUUAAUACUCACACAAUUUCUGUGACCAUCAGUUAUAAAUAAUGGCCUUGCACAGCACUGUGUAGGUGAAAUGCAUUAAUGUUGAUACCAUUCAGCUAUUGGGGCAUGCUAAGCUGCUUGUGUGGAGAGUUUCCUCCCCCUUCCCAUUUUGAUUUUUCUGCUGCUAUGCUUGAUGACUCGCAAUAAAAAUGGGUAAACAGAGAUCCAAGGGAAAUGAAACUACAUCUGCUGAACAUUCAGAGCCAAAAUACACAAGGUGGAUAAUUUGCAUGCUGUAUGUAAAAAGUAGUUAUGCAGCUUUCUUCCUACUCUUUACAUCUCCAUAAAACAUAAUAAUGGAUUUCUAAUUAUACGUCCAAAUAAUGGGCAAGCUGCAAGAUGCUGGAAGAAAAUUGGAAGAGGGGGAAGAAACUAACCAAAGGUACAGAUGUAACAAGGGUAGUGACGUUUCUGUAAAGAUGCUUUAAUGGUUGUUAAGUACUCAUUUUGAAACAAAAUUUUUUGUUGAAACAAAAUUUUUUGUUUGAAACAAAUUUUUUGACAAUUUGCAUCAGAGUUAAGGGAUGUCAGACUACAGCUUUUGGUCUACUACAAUGAUCAAAGAGGAGCUCUUUUCAUGCCUAUUCAAAUAAGUAGUAGGUUCCUAAAUUGGCUUUGUACAAAAGAAGGCAACCAGACUUCUGUCAAAUUCAGGCAGUGGAUCAGGCAGUCUUGACUUUUGAUGUUAAACACUGAUAAACUUUAUAUCAAAAUAAAGCAUUGUGUUUGUAAAUGAUAAACUCCUUCAAGUAAAACACAAUCAAUUUAUUGGAUUAUGA